This 1147-nucleotide ribosomal RNA is filed under the name uncultured organism. RNAcentral's name for it is "bacterial SSU rRNA". It matches the Rfam family "Bacterial small subunit ribosomal RNA", at positions 63 to 1189 of the family's 1533-position model. The record is from RNAcentral.
CGAACGCGAACGGCUCCUUCGGGAGCCUAGUAGAGUGGCAAACGGGUGAGUAACGCGUGGGUAACGUACCCUGAUCCUGGGAAUAACCCUCGGAAACGAGGGCUAAUACCGAAUGUGGCGAACGACCGGUUGGUCGCUCGCUAAAGGUGGCCUCUUCUAUGCUGCCGGGUUGGGAUCGGCCCGCGUCCCAUUAGCUAGUUGGUGAGGUAACGGCUCACCAAGGCCACGAUGGGUAGCCGGCCUGAGAGGGUGUACGGCCACACUGGCACUGAGACAAGGGCCAGUCCCCUAUGGGAGGCGCAGGCGGGAAUAGUUCACAAUGGGCGAAAGCCUGAUGACGCGACGCCGCGUGAGCGAAGAAGACCUUCGGGUUGUAAAGCUCUGUCAGGAGGGAAGAAGGCUCUACGGGUUAAUAGCCCGUGGAAUUGACGGUACCUCCAGAGGAAGCCCCGGCUAAAUACGUGCCAGCAGCCGCGGUAAUACGUAUGGGGCAAGCGUUGUCCGGAUUUACUGGGCGUAAAGGGCGCGUAGGCGGUUUGUUAAGUCGAAGGUGAAAUCCCCGGGCUCAACUCGAGAAUUGCCUUCGAUACUGGCAAACUAGAGUGGCGGAGAGGAAAGCGGAACUCUUGGUGUAACGGUGGAAUGUGUAGAUAUCAAGAGGAACACCGGUGGCGAAGGCGGCUUUCUGGACGCACACUGACGCUCAGGCGCGAAAGCGUGGGUAGCAAACAGGAUUAGAUACCCUGGUAGUCCACGCCAUAAACGAUGGGUACUAGGUGUCGGGGGUAUCGACCCCUCCGGUGCCGCAGUUAACGCACUAAGUACCCCGCCUGGGGAUUAUGGUCGCAAGGCUGAAACUCAAAGGAAUUGACGGGGCCCCGCACAAGCGGUGGAGCAUGUGGUUUAAUUCGACGCAACGCGAAGAACCUUACCUGGGCUUGACAUGCUUGGGACAGCGCUGGAAACAGCGUCUCUCCUUCGGGAGCCCUUGCACAGGUGCUGCAUGGCUGUCGUCAGCUCGUGUCGUGAGAUGUUGGGUUAAGUCCCGCAACGAGCGCAACCCUCGUUACUAGUUGCCAUCAGUUCGGCUGGGCACUCUAGUGAGACUGCCGGUGAUAAACCGGAGGAAGGUGAGGAUGAUGUCAAG